CUGGUUGAUCCUGCCAGGAGUGAUAUGCUUGUUUCAAAGAUUAAGCCAUGCAUGUCUAAGUAUAAGCGAACUUAUAUAGUGAAACUGCAGAUGGCUCAUUAAAACAGUCUGAAUCUAUUUGAUGAAUGUAUGAGAAUACUACAUGGAUAUCCGUAGUAAUUCUAGAGCUAAUACAUGCAAGAACGCCCGACCUCUGGAAGGGUUGUAUUUAUUGGAUACAAAAACCAAACCUGGCAACAGGUUUUGUUUGUUGAUUCACAAUAACUGAUCGGAUCGGGGCCUCGGCUCCGAUAGGUCAUUC
This 301-nucleotide ribosomal RNA is filed under the name uncultured eukaryote. RNAcentral's name for it is "SSU rRNA". It matches the Rfam family "Eukaryotic small subunit ribosomal RNA", at positions 4 to 300 of the family's 1831-position model. The record is from RNAcentral.